This 447-nucleotide ribosomal RNA is filed under the name uncultured bacterium. Its description in RNAcentral is "bacterial SSU rRNA". It matches the Rfam family "Bacterial small subunit ribosomal RNA", at positions 355 to 825 of the family's 1533-position model. The record is from RNAcentral.
UAACGAAUCUUCCGCAAUGGGCGAAAGCCUGACGGAGCAAUGCCGCGUGUGGGAUGAAGCGCCUUCGGCGUGUAAACCACUGUCAGGGAAUGGAACCAAUGAUUAUUCCCAAAGGAAGUGGCGACUAACUCUGUGCCAGCAGUCGCGGUAAUACAGAGGCCACAAGCGUUAGUCGGAAUCACUGGGCUUAAAGGGUGCGUAGGCGGGCCCGCAAGCGUCUUGUGAAAUCCCAUGGCUCAACCAUGGAAUUGCAGGGCGAACUGCGGGUCUUGAGGCAGGUAGGGGCCGGAAGAACAGUAGGUGGAGCGGUGAAAUGCGUAGAUAUCUACUGGAAUGCCGAUGGGGAAGCCGUCCGGCUGGGCCUGUCCUGACGCUGAGGCACGAAAGCGUGGGGAGCAAACAGGAUUAGAUACCCACGUAGUCCCUGAGCGGGCUGGCAAGGCGCAU